ACGUAGGGGGCUAGCGUUAUCCGGAAUUACUGGGCGUAAAGGGUGCGUAGGUGGUUUCUUAAGUCAGAGGUGAAAGGCUACGGCUCAACCGUAGUAAGCCUUUGAAACUGAGAAACUUGAGUGCAGGAGAGGAGAGUAGAAUUCCUAGUGUAGCGGUGAAAUGCGUAGAUAUUAGGAGGAAUACCAGUUGCGAAGGCGGCUCUCUGGACUGUAACUGACACUGAGGCACGAAAGCGUGGGGAGCAAACAG
This 250-nucleotide ribosomal RNA is filed under the name uncultured bacterium. RNAcentral's name for it is "partial 16S ribosomal RNA". It matches the Rfam family "Bacterial small subunit ribosomal RNA", at positions 525 to 775 of the family's 1533-position model. The record is from RNAcentral.